GCUGGGUGGAUUAGUGGCGAACGGGUGAGUAACACGUGAGUAACCUGCCCCUGACUCUGGGAUAAGCGUUGGAAACGACGUCUAAUACUGGAUAUGACUGCCGGCCGCAUGGUCUGGUGGUGGAAAGAUUUUUUGGUUGGGGAUGGACUCGCGGCCUAUCAGCUUGUUGGUGAGGUAAUGGCUCACCAAGGCGACGACGGGUAGCCGGCCUGAGAGGGUGACCGGCCACACUGGGACUGAGACACGGCCCAGACUCCUACGGGAGGCAGCAGUGGGGAAUAUUGCACAAUGGGCGAAAGCCUGAUGCAGCAACGCCGCGUGAGGGAUGACGGCCUUCGGGUUGUAAACCUCUUUUAGUAGGGAAGAAGSGUAAGUGACGGUACCUGCAGAAAAAGCACCGGCNUAACUACGUGCCAGCAGNCCGCGGUAAUACGUAGGGUGCAAGCGUUGUNCCGGAAUUAUUGGGCGUAAAGAGCUCGUAGGCGGUUUGUCGCGUCUGCUGUGAAAUCCCGAGGCUCAACCUCGGGCUUGCAGUGGGUACGGGCAGACUAGAGUGCGGUAGGGGAGAUUGGAAUUCCUGGUGUAGCGGUGGAAUGCGCAGAUAUCAGGAGGAACACCGAUGGCGAAGGCAGAUCUCUGGGCCGUAACUGACGCUGAGGAGCGAAAGCGUGGGGAGCGAACAGGAUUAGAUACCCUGGUAGUCCACGCCGUAAACGUUGGGCGCUAGAUGUAGGGACCUUUCCACGGUUUCUGUGUCGUAGCUAACGCAUUAAGCGCCCCGCCUGGGGAGUACGGCCGCAAGGCUAAAACUCAAAGGAAUUGACGGGGGCCCGCACAAGCGGCGGAGCAUGCGGAUUAAUUCGAUGCAACGCGAAGAACCUUACCAAGGCUUGACAUACACCGGAAACGGCCAGAGAUGGUUGCCCCCUUGUGGUCGGUGUACAGGUGGUGCAUGGUUGUCGUCAGCUCGUGUCGUGAGAUGUUGGGUUAAGUCCCGCAACGAGCGCAACCCUCGUUCUAUGUUGCCAGCGCGUUAUGGCGGGGACUCAUAGGAGACUGCCGGGGUCAACUCGGAGGAAGGUGGGGAUGACGUCAAAUCAUCAUGCCCCUUAUGUCUUGGGCUUCACGCAUGCUACAAUGGCCGGUACAAAGGGCUGCGAUACCGUAAGGUGGAGCGAAUCCCAAAAAGCCGGUCUCAGUUCGGAUUGAGGUCUGCAACUCGACCUCANGAANNCGGAGNCGC
RNAcentral lists this ribosomal RNA (1243 nucleotides) under Curtobacterium sp. Its description in RNAcentral is "bacterial SSU rRNA". Lineage: Bacteria; Bacillati; Actinomycetota; Actinomycetes; Micrococcales; Microbacteriaceae. The record is from RNAcentral.